UAAAAAAUAGCCUAAAAUGCAAAAUACAAGUUGUUAUUUUGAGUAAAUAUGAAGCUGUUGCUAUGAAGUGCCUAAUUAUGGGCUUAAGUUUGCUACUUGUGAAUUUUUCCCUCUUCUGUAAGUGCCCUUUUAAUUAAAGUUCAAUUUUUGAUUGGACUAGUCCAUGAAUUUGGGUUAUAAAUGAUGAGUCCACUUUACUAAGCCCCAGAUGACAUAUUAUUCUAAAAGUUAUUUGGUUUCAUGUGUCGAAUGAUGUGGUAUACCAAGCCAUGUAAAUGAGUCAAUAAGACCAUGCCACAUAUAAAAAUGAUGCAGUAUGCUUGGUGAAAUCAAAGUCCAAUCAACAUACGCCAUAUGUAUACGUUGAUAUGUUACAACCAAC
RNAcentral lists this long non-coding RNA (382 nucleotides) under Capsicum annuum. RNAcentral describes it as "long non-coding RNA (CANN_LNC011304)". Lineage: Eukaryota; Viridiplantae; Streptophyta; Magnoliopsida; Solanales; Solanaceae. The record is from RNAcentral.